CAUAUGAUCUUUUAGUAUCAGUAAUACUCAGUGUCAUAUCAGGCACCGAUCAUGGGUUAGCUUAUGAUUUUUCGGGACCGUAAGCACCAUGUGGCAUCCAGGGUGUACUCUCGGGGAAUUAAAAACUUGGUAUCAGAGCCUAAGGUUUUAAAGCAUCAUAGGGAGUCUAAAAGCCGUGUUGAGUAAAGUCUUGUGCAUGGGUGUGAAGCGUUCCACACUUAUGGAUAAAAGGCUAUGAGACG
Molecule: long non-coding RNA, 242 nt
Filed under: Capsicum annuum
Lineage: Eukaryota; Viridiplantae; Streptophyta; Magnoliopsida; Solanales; Solanaceae
Description: long non-coding RNA (CANN_LNC008641)
Source: RNAcentral